AGACAAAUAACAAAUGAGUGUGACAGAGCUUGUGUUAAACUACAUCUGCAGCUGAAUCUUUGGCUCAAAAUGAAAUCCUCGAGAGCAAAAUGUUCUCCCUUUCCUCUGUUAGAGCCACAAGACACCACAAGAUGUCAAGGAUAAUAUCACAGUGAGAGUUCAGAAACUGUGAAAGUGUUGUAUAGAUGUUUGGAGAAGAAUUAUUUAUGCACUUGAAAAUACUGCAAAGCUCCCAAAUGGUCAGAAAGCAGUUCAUCAUCUCAGAGACUGGUCAUCUUGAUGGAGCUCAUCUCAGCACUUGCAGACGGUAUAGCAUCAAUCUCUACUAUCAGAGCUGCUGUUUCUUGUGUCAUCCUAAAAGCAGCACUUCCAACACAGAGCCUUCAAGGAAAUUGUACUGGACUUGCAUCCUAUGUGAUAUUAUCAAUGUUGAAUGCAUUUCAAUAUUGAUAUUACAGUCUUUUAAUAAAAAGGUACUUGACAGUUAUUCUUCAAUGUUUAUUGGCA
This is a long non-coding RNA of Cuculus canorus (common cuckoo), 507 nucleotides long. RefSeq lists it as uncharacterized. The transcript is spliced from 3 exons. The record is from RefSeq and is a predicted model, not a curated record. Lineage: Eukaryota; Metazoa; Chordata; Aves; Cuculiformes; Cuculidae.